GAAGCUGCGGCAGCGACGCUUAUGCGUUGUUGGGUAGGGGAGCGUUCUGUAAGCCUGUGAAGGUGGCCUGUGAGGGUUGCUGGAGGUAUCAGAAGUGCGAAUGCUGACAUAAGUAACGAUAAAGCGGGUGAAAAGCCCGCUCGCCGGAAGACCAAGGGUUCCUGUCCAACGUUAAUCGGGGCAGGGUGAGUCGACCCCUAAGGCGAGGCCGAAAGGCGUAGUCGAUGGGAAACGGGUUAAUAUUCCCGUACUUGGUGUUACUGCGAAGGGGGGACGGAGAAGGCUAUGUUGGCCGGGCGACGGUUGUCCCGGUUUAAGCGUGUAGGUGUGUGUUCCAGGUAAAUCCGGUUCACUUUAACACUGAGGCGUGAUGACGAGGCACUACGGUGCUGAAGCAACAAAUGCCCUGCUUCCAGGAAAAGCCUCUAAGCAUCAGGUAACAUCAAAUCGUACCCCAAACCGACACAGGUGGUCAGGUAGAGAAUACCAAGGCGCUUGAGAGAACUCGGGUGAAGGAACUAGGCAAAAUGGUGCCGUAACUUCGGGAGAAGGCACGCUGACACGUAGGUGAAGUGAUUUACUCAUGGAGCUGAAGUCAGUCGAAGAUACCAGCUGGCUGCAACUGUUUAUUAAAAACACAGCACUGUGCAAACACGAAAGUGGACGUAUACGGUGUGACGCCUGCCCGGUGCCGGAAGGUUAAUUGAUGGGGUCAGCGCAAGCGAAGCUCCUGAUCGAAGCCCCGGUAAACGGCGGCCGUAACUAUAACGGUCCUAAGGUAGCGAAAUUCCUUGUCGGGUAAGUUCCGACCUGCACGAAUGGCGUAAUGAUGGCCAGGCUGUCUCCACCCGAGACUCAGUGAAAUUGAACUCGCUGUGAAGAUGCAGUGUACCCGCGGCAAGACGGAAAGACCCCGUGAACCUUUACUAUAGCUUGACACUGAACAUUGAGCCUUGAUGUGUAGGAUAGGUGGGAGGCUUUGAAGUGUGGACGCCAGUCUGCAUGGAGCCGACCUUGAAAUACCACCCUUUAAUGUUUGAUGUUCUAACGUGGACCCGUUACCCGGGUUGCGGACAGUGUCUGGUGGGUAGUUUGACUGGGGCGGUCUCCUCCUAAAGAGUAACGGAGGAGCACGAAGGUUGGCUAAUCCUGGUCGGACAUCAGGAGGUUAGUGCAAUGGCAUAAGCCAGCUUGACUGCGAGCGUGACGGCGCGAGCAGGUGCGAAAGCAGGUCAUAGUGAUCCGGUGGUUCUGAAUGGAAGGGCCAUCGCUCAACGGAUAAAAGGUACUCCGGGGAUAACAGGCUGAUACCGCCCAAGAGUUCAUAUCGACGGCGGUGUUUGGCACCUCGAUGUCGGCUCAUCACAUCCUGGGGCUGAAGUAGGUCCCAAGGGUAUGGCUGUUCGCCAUUUAAAGUGGUACGCGAGCUGGGUUUAGAACGUCGUGAGACAGUUCGGUCCCUAUCUGCCGUGGGCGCUGGAGAACUGAGGGGGGCUGCUCCUAGUACGAGAGGACCGGAGUGGACGCAUCACUGGUGUUCGGGUUGUCAUGCCAAUGGCACUGCCCGGUAGCUAAAUGCGGAAGAGAUAAGUGCUGAAAGCAUCUAAGCACGAAACUUGCCCCGAGAUGAGUUCUCCCUGAGACUUAGAGUCUCCUGAAGGAACGUUGAAGACGACGACGUUGAUAGGCCGGGUGUGUAAGCGCAGCGAUGCGUUGAGCUAACCGGUACUAAUGAACCGUGAGGCUUAACCUUACAACGCCGAAG
This 1765-nucleotide ribosomal RNA is filed under the name Salmonella enterica subsp. enterica serovar Heidelberg. Its description in RNAcentral is "bacterial LSU rRNA". It matches the Rfam family "Bacterial large subunit ribosomal RNA", at positions 1196 to 2925 of the family's 2925-position model. The record is from RNAcentral. Lineage: Bacteria; Pseudomonadati; Pseudomonadota; Gammaproteobacteria; Enterobacterales; Enterobacteriaceae.